CCUACGGGUGGCAGCAGUGAGGAAUAUUGGUCAAUGGGCGCGAGCCUGACCCAGCCAAGUCGCGUGAGGGAAGACGGUCCUAUGGAUUGUAAACCUCUUUUGUCGGGGAGCAAAAGACGCCACGUGUGGCGUUCCGAGAUUACCCGAAGAACAAGCAUCGGCUAGCUCCGUGCCAGCAGCGGCGGUAAUACGGAGGAUGCGAGGUUUAUCCGGAUUUGUUGGGGUAAAGGGGUGGGCAGGCGGAAGAUCAGGUCAGCGGUAAAAUUGAGAGGCUCAGCCUCUUCGAGCCGUUGAAACUGGUGGUCUUGAGUGAGCGAGAGGUAUGCGGAAUGCGUGGUGUAGCGGUGAAAUGCAUAGAUAUCACGCAGAACUCCGAUUGCGAAGGCAGCAUACCGGCGCUCAACUGACGCUCAGGCACGAAAGUGUGGGUAUCGAACAGGAUUAGAUACCCUGGUAGUC
This 459-nucleotide ribosomal RNA is filed under the name uncultured bacterium. Its description in RNAcentral is "partial 16S ribosomal RNA". It matches the Rfam family "Bacterial small subunit ribosomal RNA", at positions 338 to 795 of the family's 1533-position model. The record is from RNAcentral.